ACGGAGGGUGCGAGCGUUAAUCGGAAUCACUGGGCGUAAAGCGCGUGUAGGCGGUUGGGUAAGUCGGAUGUGAAAGCCCUGGGCUCAACCGGGGAACUGCAUUUGAUACUGCGACGCUUGAGUCCCGGAGAGGAAGGCGGAAUUCCCAGUGUAGAAGUGAAAUGCGUAGAUAUGGGGAGGAACGCCGGUGGCGAAGGCGACCAUCUGGGCGCAGACUGACGCUGAGGCGCGAAAGCGUGGGGAGCAAACAG
This 251-nucleotide ribosomal RNA is filed under the name uncultured prokaryote. Its description in RNAcentral is "partial 16S rRNA". It matches the Rfam family "Bacterial small subunit ribosomal RNA", at positions 525 to 775 of the family's 1533-position model. The record is from RNAcentral.